This 4343-nucleotide long non-coding RNA is filed under the name Cricetulus griseus (Chinese hamster). RNAcentral's name for it is "lncRNA (ENSCGRG00015037935.1)". The record is from RNAcentral. Lineage: Eukaryota; Metazoa; Chordata; Mammalia; Rodentia; Cricetidae.
GCAAGCAUAUGAUAUGUUCUGAAUACUUAUGGGCAACACCCUUGGAGCUGUGGGAUAUUUCUGGGACCUAAAAGCCAUGAAGAUAUCUGCCUAGAAAAGUGGUGGGCACCAGUCAAGAAUUCAACCUAAGUGAGCCUUCACCUUUGGGCUGCUCUCAUAAUUAACCGGUCCUCUUCAGGCAUCAUCCCUAAGAGCUGCUUUGGGGGCUCUAUGACUCAUGACAAAUCUGACCUCAUUUGUGUGCCUUGUUUUUUUAUUACCCAGUUUCAGCCAGAAGAUGUCUAUAAUCUAUGAGGUCUAUGGAAUGGGAGAAAAAUUUCCAUGUUUUGUACCUGGACCACUAGGCUUUCUUGUUCUUUCUCAGCAAUUGGGCAUCAUAGUCAACAUCCCAUUUGAAGACUCACUGAAUCAAAAUUGAGAUCACAUUUCCAGGACUAAGUCUUUUCUUAUUAGAGAAAGAAGAGCCUAAAGAAUGUGCAGUCCAGAAAGGGCAUAUACAGCUAGAGCCCCAGUCUUUUCUCUGCCCAUACAUAGCUAGAUAAUUCACUUUGCCUUUCUGCCUAUGGAGAGGUAGACAUCUCAGCUGUACUCAAGAAUGCAGUAUGUCAGAUCCCUGAAGGCUUAACUGGAGAUUUGUGAUAUUAAAUUCUCAUAAACUGCUAAGAAACUGCCUUACAAGAAAAGAUACAUUCAUAUUGUGAGUUUCUGAACACAUAAAGGGUUUGGCUUUAUAAAAGAGGAGGUAGACAGAGUCUUCCUUUUUCUUUGUUGCCUUCUGUUGCCCCAACAAGUGUCCAGGGUUCUUCUUUUCAGGAUCCUCCUCCUCCUGUGGUAUCAGUCAACCUCUAGUUUAGACAAAAGCAGCUCAUGUGGCCCAACCUCUUCUUCCUCAUUUCUUUGGUCACUCUUCAUUCUCUGGUAGCUUAUGAGGUAUGUGUGGUAUCCUGGCCUGAAGACAACAUGGAAACUCCUGCAAAGAAAAACAUUCAAUUACAGUGGUUUACAGUUCAGGGGUUCAAUCCAUUAUCAUCAUGGUGGGACAUGGGGACAUGCAGGCAGACAUGAUACAGAAGAGGUAGCUGAGAGAUCUACAUCUUGCACAAGCAACAGAAAGUGAACUCAGACACUAGGUGUCUUGAGCAUAGGUGACUCAAGGCCUAGCCCCACAAUGACACACUUCCUCCAACAAGGCCUCAUCUAUUCCAACAACACUACAUAUUCUAAUAGUGUCAUUCCCUUUGUGGGGGCACUUUAUUUCAAACCACAUUCUGAUCCCUAACCCCCAAAGCCUAUAGACAUAUCAUAAUGGAAAAAUGCAUUCAGUUCAACUUCAAAAGUCCCCAUAGUCUAUAGCAGUCUCACACUUAUUUAAAAGUUUAAGUUCAAAAUCUCUUCUGAGAUUCAUACAAUCACAUAACUAUAAUCCCCAGUAAAAUCAAAAUAAAAAUGAAAAUAAAAUAUUUCCAACAUAUAAUGGUACAGGUUAUAUAUCACCAUUCUAAAAUAGAGGGAAGGGAACAUAGUGAGGAAAUACUGGACCAAAACAAGACUGAAUACCAGCUGGGAAAUCUCCAAACUCUGCACUCUAUGUCUGAUGUGAAAACACUCCAGAUCUCCAACUCAUUUCAUCUUUGUUGACCAUAAAAUACUUCUUUCCCUUAGGCUUGUUCACUAACUUUCUGUCUUCACCAGAUUUCUGUUUUUGGAUGAUUUCCCUCACUGCCAAAGCUUGGCUAUUCUGGAACUUUCUCUGUAGUCUAUGAUGACCUCAAACUCAGAGAUCCAUCAGCUAGGCCUUGCCAGUUCUAGAAUUAAAGCUGUGCAGCACCACAACUGGCUCUAAGCUUUUCUUUAAUUCCUUUUCACAAGUUGGAAACUUUUAGCUGAGUCAGAUCUUGAUCUAGGGUCACCACUCUCUUCAUUCCAUUUCUUAAUCUGUUUAUUUCCUUGAAUAUUGGUCUUAGCUCCAUUCCACUUUCUGGAGCUCCUUUUCUCCUCAAACAUUUUUCCUUACUCAGUUUGCUUCUUUUCAUUAUAUAAUCUUCAUUAGAGUUAACAUUAGUAACCACACAACUGAGUCUGUUUUGAGAUUUCUUCUGCCAAGGGAAUUAAUCCAAAAUUCUUCACUUCAGUCUUAGGCAAACAUUUUGCACAAGGGCAAAAACUAGCCACAUUUGUUACCAAACUAUCACAAGAAUGAUCUCUAGGUCACAUAUUAAUAUUUUUCUCCUCUGAAACCUCUUGAUAGAGGGAACCACAAUUCAAAUCACACUUAGCAUCACUGUUUUCCAUGCUCCUACUAGAAUGGCCAAAUUAAUCAACACUUAAAGUGUUCAACUGCUUUUCUUUUCCACAGUCCCAAGGUCCAUAUUCCUUCAAACAAAAGCUUGGUCACGCCUAUCACACACCAAGUAUACUCCUGGUAUCAACUUCUAUCUUGGGGUUUCUAUUGCUGCAAAGAGACACAAGGACCAUGGCAACUCUUACAAAGAAAAUCAUUUCAUUGCAGUCCAUUAUCAUCAUGGUGGGACAUGGUAAGCAGAUAUGGUGUUGGAGAGGUAGCAGGUAACAAGAAGUGAGUUCAGAAACUUAGUGUGGCUUGAGCAUAUAUGAAAUCUCACAGCCCACCUCCACAGUGAUACAUUUCCUUCAACCAGACCACACACACUCCAACAAAGCCACAACUCCUAAUAGUGCCACUGCCUUUAGGGGUCAAUUUUCUUUCAAACCAUUAUAAACCCCAAAACCUUAAUUCCUCCAGGUCUCUUCUUUGACAAUAUUAGAGAUAACACAAAAUUAACCUGGUGCUGUUCCUAAGUAUAUCUGAAUGCAGAAGGUUCCUGUCUAUGGCACUUAGGACCUUGAAAAAUACAUUCAUUGUCCCUCUGUCAUGCUAAAGGGAAAGACCUCAUAUGCCUUGGGAUAAAAUUACAGGGAAAUUUGAAGUUUGUUUUAUUUUAUUGGUCAUCAUUUGCUUCAUCUCCAUAGGGAAGGCUACUCUGCUCUAUCCCUGGUGUUAUAUCAGUGAGGCAGAAAUUUGAGGACUUCAGAUUCUUGACUGGCCUUAGAAAGCAGUUGUUGUGAUAUUGGCAUUUCCCAUAAUGUUGCCUGUGACCUGAGCUGUCCAUUUUCCAGGUGCAUCCUUGGCUCUGCUACUUCCUGCCCAGAAGCCUCUGGGUUGUUUUCUUAGUCCCUUAACUUUCCUUUCCCUUUCUUUCAACUAAGAAGAGUACUGCUCUGAAUCCUAGGGGCACUAGAAGAUGUAAGUAGAUAAUGCUUAGCUGUCAUAUCUAAUUGUCUCCUUUCUUCCCUUCUUACUCAUUGUCUUUUUAUAUGCUCUCAAUGCUUUUUUCAAGGCUUGUCAUUUAGUCCUCAAAUUCUUAAUGGGAGAGACUUCCCCUUUCUAUAUUCUUUGCCUCCAUCAAACUUUCUGAUUUUUUCUAUUGAUAGUUUUGUUUUGCCUUCUCUCUCUCUCUCUCUUUUUUUUUUGAAAGAGUUGCUUGUUCAGAUUGGCCUUGGAUUCACUGUGUAACAAACCAAAUGCUGACCUUGAACUUCUGACCCUCAUACCUUACUUUUCAAGUGCUGGGAUUACAGGUUUGUGCCACCACAUCUUGUUUGAUCUUACUCAGUAUUUCUCAGGUCUGUGAGUUCCUAAUUAAAUAUGAAGGUUAAGAAUCAAAACUUUGAUGGCUAGUGUUGGUAGUCAUCUUGGCAAUAGUUGGCAUUAACUAAAACUCAAGCAGUUAAGUACACUUGUGAGGAAUUCUCUUGACUGGAUCAUCUGGGGUGAGAAGACAAACCCUAGAUCUGGGCCACACUUUGUGGGCCACAUUAAAGAACAUGGAAAAAGGAACUGUUUGAUUUUUGCCUGCUUACCCUCAUUUUCAAUGACAAGUCCAUCUCUCUUGUUGCCCAGCCAUUUCUUUCUAGAUGUUAGAACCACUUCUUUGGGAUUCUAGAUAGACUGAAGCCCAGCAGCUCUCUUGGAAUCCUGUGGGUCUUGACCUUUCCAUAUGGAGACAGGCAUUGUUGGACACAGCACAUCAAUGCCACACAUGAUCCGGACUGACCUCCAACUUAUUAUCUAGUCAACGAUGAUCUUCAUGCCUUCAUCUACCACCAGCAGAAGCAAGUGGAAUGUGUCCCUGGACUUGAAACUGGCAGCAGAGCAAUGGACAGACCCCUGGGCUCCCUUAAUGGCUUUCCAUCUGUAUACUGAAGCUUGAUGUGACAUCAUCUCCUCAACCCUCAAUGCUUACAGAUACUCCCUCCUACCUACAUGAUUUUUAAAAACAGCCUGGAUGGAUUCUUGCUCAUCAGCUCUCCUUCUCAACUUCCAG